Molecule: ribosomal RNA, 770 nt
Filed under: uncultured bacterium
Lineage: Bacteria
Description: bacterial SSU rRNA
Rfam family: Bacterial small subunit ribosomal RNA
Source: RNAcentral
UAAUACUGACACUGAGGCUCGAAAGCGUGGGUAGCAAACAGGAUUAGAUACCCUGGUAGUCCACGCCGUAAACGAUGUCUACUAGUCGUUGGGUCCCUUGAGGACUUAGUGACGCAGCUAACGCAAUAAGUAGACCGCCUGGGGAGUACGGCCGCAAGGUUAAAACUCAAAUGAAUUGACGGGGGCCCGCACAAGCGGUGGAGCAUGUGGUUUAAUUCGAUGCAACGCGAAGAACCUUACCUGGUCUUGACAUAUCUAGAAUCCUGCAGAGAUGCGGGAGUGCCUUCGGGAAUUAGAAUACGGGUGCUGCAUGGCUGUCGUCAGCUCGUGUCGUGAGAUGUUGGGUUAAGUCCCGCAACGAGCGCAACCCUUGUCCUUAGUUACCAGCGGGUUAAGCCGGGAACUCUAAGGAUACUGCCAGUGACAAACUGGAGGAAGGCGGGGACGACGUCAAGUCAUCAUGGCCCUUACGACCAGGGCUACACACGUGCUACAAUGGUAGGUACAGAGGGCAGCUACACAGCGAUGUGAUGCGAAUCUCAAAAAGCCUAUCGUAGUCCAGAUUGGAGUCUGCAACUCGACUCCAUGAAGUAGGAAUCGCUAGUAAUCGCGGAUCAGAAUGCCGCGGUGAAUACGUUCCCGGGCCUUGUACACACCGCCCGUCACACCAUGGGAGUUGAUUGCACCAGAAGUGGAUAGCUUAACCUUCGGGGGAGCGUUCACCACGGUGUGGUUGAUGACUGGGGUGAAGUCGUAACAAGGUAGCCGUA